RNAcentral lists this long non-coding RNA (510 nucleotides) under Equus caballus (horse). RNAcentral describes it as "lncRNA (ENSECAG00000055186.1)". The record is from RNAcentral. Lineage: Eukaryota; Metazoa; Chordata; Mammalia; Perissodactyla; Equidae.
UUUGUUUGAAGUCACAUCUUUCUUGACAUAAACCUGAGACAUCUAAAGCUACAAAGAAAGAUUGAAUUUUUUUGUUGUUCCCUGCUGGCUGCCCCACGUGAUCUCAGUGAUGGGAAAUAAGGAGAACUCACAGGAAUUUAAGAGCCAUGAAACACCUACUGGGUGGCCGGGACUCCCUAUGGACGUAUACAGCAAGCAGCUCAUUUAAAUCUUAUGAGGUAGGGACUGUCACUGCCCUCAUUUACAGAGGAGGAGAUUGAGGCUCAGAGGAGUGAUGUAACUUGACCACAGUCACACGCGGACGAGUGGUGGAGGUGGGAUUCAACCACAGGAUCUGCCAAGAGGAAAGGAAGCCCAUAUUGUACAUGCCACAUCUCAUUAUCCACUGGAGGAGAGAGGACGGUGGGGAAUGCUCAUGGGGUCAAGGAGUUUGCUAACUUGAUCGCAGAGUGAGAAGAAACCGAGAAGGGCUUGCAGACAAAGGGUAUGGGCUAUUCAAAAGUGCCGAGG